AAAGAAAAUAACAAUGAUUCCCCUAGUAACUGCGAGUGAAGAGGGACAAGCUCAAAUUUUAAAUCCAUCGGGUUUUACCCGAUCGAGUUGUAAUUUGAAGAGGCGUUUUCUGUGUUUCUGAUCAGUCCAAGUCCUUUGGGAUAAGGCAUCAUGGAGGGUGAGAAUCCCGUCCGGUUGAUCAGAUUCGCUUUACGAUACGCUUUCUAAGAGUCAAGUUGUUUGGGAUUGCAGCUUAAAAUGGGAGGUAAAUUUCUCCUAAGGCUAAAUAACGGCGAGAGACCGAUAGCGAACAAGUACCGUGAGGGAAAGAUGAAAAGAACUUUGAAAAGAGAGUUAAAUAGUACGUGAAAUUGUUGAAAGGGAAACGAUUGAAGCCAGUCGUACCUUCGGGUAAUCAGCCUUUUGGGUAUGAUUUUGUGGAACGUGAGGAGUUAAACGCCUUCAUGCCUGCAUAUUCGUGCACUUUGGGUGUACUUGCCCGUAUGGUUGGUUAACAUCAAUUUUGAUGGUCAUAAAAUGACUGGAGGAAUGUAGCUUCGAUCUCGUAUUGAGGUGUUAUAGCCUUCGGUAGAUGUGAUGAUCGAGAUUGAGGAUUGCAACGGAUACCCUUCGGGGCUACCUGUCUGAUCUCUGAUCGUUGCUCUGGUGCCGAAAGCUUGCUUACGGUUAUCAAAGUCGAUGGUCAAUAGGUUAGAACGGGUUAAAUU
This 707-nucleotide ribosomal RNA is filed under the name uncultured Glomeromycotina. RNAcentral's name for it is "eukaryotic LSU rRNA". It matches the Rfam family "Eukaryotic large subunit ribosomal RNA", at positions 58 to 632 of the family's 3401-position model. The record is from RNAcentral. Lineage: Eukaryota; Fungi; Glomeromycota.